RNAcentral lists this ribosomal RNA (1562 nucleotides) under metagenome. Its description in RNAcentral is "bacterial LSU rRNA". It matches the Rfam family "Bacterial large subunit ribosomal RNA", at positions 1234 to 2925 of the family's 2925-position model. The record is from RNAcentral.
AGGCUCGGAGUUUUCUGUGUAGCCCCCCUGUGAGGGAUGGGGUGGAGAGAUCACUAGUGAGAAUGAUGACAUGAGUAGCGACAAAGAGGGUGAGAGACCCUCUCGCCGAAAGUCCAAGGGUUCCUGCUUAAAGCUAAUCUGAGCAGGGUAAGCCGACCCCUAAGGCGAGGCCGAAAGGCGUAGUCGGUGGGAAUCAGGUUAAUAUUCCUGAGCCAGGAGGAUGUGACGGAUCUCGACUGUAGUUUGCCCUUAUCGGAUUGGGUGAGCUGCUUAGAGGUUCCUGGAAAUAGCCCUCCAUGAGAUCGUACCCUAAACCGACACAGGUGGACUGGUAGAGAAUACCAAGGCGCUUGAGAGAACGAUGUUGAAGGAACUCGGCAAAAUACCUCCGUAAGUUCGCGAGAAGGAGGCCCGAUUGGCAGGCAACUGUUGGUCGGGGGCACAAACUAGGGGGUGGCGACUGUUUACUAAAAACACAGGGCUGUGCGAAGCCGUAAGGCGACGUAUACAGUCUGACGCCUGCCCGGUGCUGGAAGGUUAAAAGGAGGGGUGCAAGCUCCGAAUUGAAGCCCCAGUAAACGGCGGCCGUAACUAUAACGGUCCUAAGGUAGCGAAAUUCCUUGUCGGGUAAGUUCCGACCUGCACGAAUGGCGUAACGACUUCCCCGCAGUCUCCAACAUCGACUCAGCGAAAUUGAAUUGCCUGUCAAGAUGCAGGCUUCCCGCGGUUAGACGGAAAGACCCCAUGCACCUUUACUCCAGCUUCACAUUGGCAUCAGGCCAAGCAUGUGCAGGAUAGGUGGUAGGCUUUGAAGCAGGAACGCCAGUUUCUGUGGAGCCUCACUUGAGAUACCACCCUUGCUUUGCUUGAUGUCUAACCGCGGUCCGUUAUCCGGAUCCGGGACCCUGUGUGGCGGGGAGUUUGACUGGGGCGGUCGCCUCCCAAAUUGUAACGGAGGCGCGCGAAGGUUGGCUCAGACCGGUCGGAAAUCGGUCGUUGAGUGCAAUGGCAUAAGCCAGCCUGACUGCGAGACUGACAAGUCGAGCAGAGACGAAAGUCGGUCAUAGUGAUCCGGUGGUCCCGAGUGGAAGGGCCAUCGCUCAACGAAUAAAAGGUACGCUGGGGAUAACAGGCUGAUGGUGCCCAAGAGUCCAUAUCGACGGCACCGUUUGGCACCUCGAUGUCGGCUCAUCUCAUCCUGGGGCUGGAGCAGGUCCCAAGGGUAUGGCUGUUCGCCAUUUAAAGAGGUACGUGAGCUGGGUUUAGAACGUCGUGAGACAGUUCGGUCCCUAUCUUCCGUGGGUGUAGGAUACUUGAGAGGAGUUGCCCCUAGUACGAGAGGACCGGGGUGAACGAUCCACUGGUGGACCUGUUGUCGUGCCAACGGCAGUGCAGGGUAGCUAUGAUCGGACAGGAUAACCGCUGAAGGCAUCUAAGCGGGAAGCCCCCCUCAAAACAAGGUAUCCCUGAGGACCGUGGUAGACCACCACGUCGAUAGGCCGGAGAUGUAAGCGCAGCAAUGCGUUCAGUUGACCGGUACUAAUUGUCCGAUAGGCUUGAUU